RNAcentral lists this ribosomal RNA (815 nucleotides) under Scheffersomyces stipitis. RNAcentral's name for it is "eukaryotic LSU rRNA". It matches the Rfam family "Eukaryotic large subunit ribosomal RNA", at positions 83 to 919 of the family's 3401-position model. Lineage: Eukaryota; Fungi; Ascomycota; Pichiomycetes; Serinales; Debaryomycetaceae. The record is from RNAcentral.
GUAACGGCGAGUGAAGCGGCAAAAGCUCAAAUUUGAAAUCUGGCACCUUCGGUGUCCGAGUUGUAAUUUGAAGAAGGUAACUUUGGAGUCAGCUCUUGUCUAUGUUCCUUGGAACAGGACGUCACAGAGGGUGAGAAUCCCGUGCGAUGAGAUGUCUGAUUCUAUGUAAAGUGCUUUCGAAGAGUCGAGUUGUUUGGGAAUGCAGCUCUAAGUGGGUGGUAAAUUCCAUCUAAAGCUAAAUAUUGGCGAGAGACCGAUAGCGAACAAGUACAGUGAUGGAAAGAUGAAAAGAACUUUGAAAAGAGAGUGAAAAAGUACGUGAAAUUGUUGAAAGGGAAGGGUUUGAGAUCAGACUUGGUAUUUUGUAUGUCUUGCUUUCGGGUGGGGCCUCUACAGUUUACUGGGCCAGCAUCGGUUUGGACGGUAGGAUAAUGACAUUGGAAUGUGGCACCACUUCGGUGGUGUGUUAUAGACUUUGUUGAUACUGCCUGUCUAGACCGAGGACUGCGUCUUUGACUAGGAUGCUGGCAUAAUGAUCUUAAACCGCCCGUCUUGAAACACGGACCAAGGAGUCUAACGUCUAUGCAAGUGUUUGGGUGUAAAACCCGUACGCGUAAUGAAAGUGAACGUAGGUGAGAGCUCUUUUGAGUGCAUCAUCGACCGAUCCUGAUGUCUUCGGAUGGAUUUGAGUAAGAGCAUAGCUGUUGGGACCCGAAAGAUGGUGAACUAUGCCCGAAUAGGGUGAAGCCAGAGGAAACUCUGGUGGAGGCUCGUAGCGGUUCUGACGUGCAAAUCGAUCGUCGAAUUUGGGUAUA